GACGAACGCUGGCGGCGUGCUUAACACAUGCAAGUCGAACGAAGAGCGAUGGAAGCUUGCUUCUCUCAAUCUUAGUGGCGAACGGGUGAGUAACGCGUAAUCAACCUGCCCUUCAGAGGGGGACAACAGUUGGAAACGACUGCUAAUACCGCAUACGAUCUAAUCUCGGCAUCGAGGAUAGAUGAAAGGUGGCCUCUACAUGUAAGCUAUCACUGAAGGAGGGGAUUGCGUCUGAUUAGCUAGUUGGAGGGGGAACGGCCCACCAAGGCGAUGAUCAGUAGCCGGUCUGAGAGGAUGAACGGCCACAUUGGGACUGAGACACGGCCCAGACUCCUACGGGAGGCAGCAGUGGGGAAUCUUCCGCAAUGGACGAAAGUCUGACGGAGCAACGCCGCGUGAGUGAUGACGGCCUUCGGGUUGUAAAGCUCUGUUAAUCGGGACGAAAGGCCUUCUUGCGAAUAGGGAGAAGGAUUGACGGUACCGGAAGAGAAAGCCACGGCUAACUACGUG
RNAcentral lists this ribosomal RNA (510 nucleotides) under uncultured bacterium. RNAcentral describes it as "partial 16S ribosomal RNA". It matches the Rfam family "Bacterial small subunit ribosomal RNA", at positions 28 to 507 of the family's 1533-position model. The record is from RNAcentral.